Long non-coding RNA from Athene cunicularia (burrowing owl), 506 nucleotides. RefSeq lists it as uncharacterized. The record is from RefSeq and is a predicted model, not a curated record. NCBI's taxonomy places the organism in Eukaryota, Metazoa, Chordata, Aves, Strigiformes, Strigidae. The transcript has 3 exons.
AGAGUUACUGAUGAAAUGCACAUCUAGUGCCAAAUGAAGAGAACUUCCUGCUCACGCUCCGUGCAAUUAAACUGUGGGCAAAAUAUGAAUAAGGUGAACCCCUCAGACCAGUACCAUGUAAUGGGGAUCUUCGCCCCAGGCUCUCCACAGCAGGACACUGCACACACAGGAUCUGCAUCAAUGCCAGCAGUAACGGGAGAGGAGAUCAAACAUGAAGUCACCCCACUCUUCACCCACUUGCUUUCCUGGCCCGAGCAAAUCCCGCACUCCUGACAUCAGCCCUCACGUCCGUCUGCCAUGUCCCAGCGAUCCCCGCAGCUCUCCUCGCCAGUUCUCCCAGGGACAGUUCAUCUUUCCAGUAUGUGAAGGACCAGCAGGGCCACCACAUCAGACGAGCUGUGCUGUCGUCAGGGGCAUUAACUCCCUUCUGCAGCUCCUGAAAACACUGUGCCUGACACACGGCGCUGCAGUGCUGUCUCAUGCCCCCAUCACACUGUUGGCUCCCA